AAGGUGGACUGUAGUGCACUAUGGAGGGUUUAAGGUGGACUGUAGUGCACUAUUAAAGGUUUUAAGGUGGACUGUAGUGCACUAUUAAAGGUUUUAAGGUGGACUGUAGUGCACUAUGAAGGGUUUAAGGUGGACUGUAGUGCACUAUUAAAGGUUUAAGGUGGACUAGUGCAUUAUUAAAGGUUUUAAUGGAAGGUAGCGUACUAAGCAGGGUCUAAGGAGGAUAAUAUCACACUAUGAAGGGUUAUAAAGUGCCCUGCAGAAGGUUUAAGGUGGAUAAUAGUGUACUAUGGCAGGUUUAAGGUGGAAAUAGUGCACUACGGAGGGCGUAGGGUGCUGUUUGAGACCUAGCCUUGUUGCCUCAUUGGCAAAACUCAACUAACCAAUCAAACAGUGUUAUUUGUACAAAACUAACAGCUGCUAACUGACUGCUAACAGCUCUCUGUCGUUGUUUGUAAUAAACUUCAUUUUUCAUCCAAGACUCUCUGUACAAGUUUAUUUUAUCUUAUGUUAUUUAAGAGUUUGUGUCACAUAUAAAAGGAUCAAUGAGGGUUUUAUGUGUUUUAGUUUAAAUUUAAAGGGUUAACAUGUGAAAAUAAACGUAUGAAUAACUUG
Molecule: long non-coding RNA, 615 nt
Organism: Scomber scombrus (Atlantic mackerel)
Lineage: Eukaryota; Metazoa; Chordata; Actinopteri; Scombriformes; Scombridae
Exons: 3
Source: RefSeq, a predicted model, not a curated record